GACGAACGCUGGCGGCGUGCUUAACACAUGCAAGUCGAACGGAAAGGCCCUGCUUUUGUGGGGUGCUCGAGUGGCGAACGGGUGAGUAACCCGUGAGUAACCUGCCCUUGACUUUGGGAUAACUUCAGGAAACUGGGGCUAAUACCGGAUAGGAGCUCCUGCUGCAUGGUGGGGGUUGGAAAGUUUCGGCGGUUGGGGAUGGACUCGCGGCUUAUCAGCUUGUUGGUGGGGUAGUGGCUUACCAAGGCUUUGACGGGUAGCCGGCCUGAGAGGGUGACCGGCCACAUUGGGACUGAGAUACGGCCCAGACUCCUACGGGAGGCAGCAGUGGGGAAUAUUGCACAAUGGGCGGAAGCCUGAUGCAGCAACGCCGCGUGCGGGAUGACGGCCUUCGGGUUGUAAACCGCUUUCGACUGUGACGAAGCGUGAGUGACGGUAAUGGGUAAAGAAGCACCGGCUAACUACGUG
Molecule: ribosomal RNA, 468 nt
Filed under: uncultured bacterium
Lineage: Bacteria
Description: partial 16S ribosomal RNA
Rfam family: Bacterial small subunit ribosomal RNA
Source: RNAcentral